This 467-nucleotide ribosomal RNA is filed under the name uncultured bacterium. RNAcentral's name for it is "partial 16S ribosomal RNA". It matches the Rfam family "Bacterial small subunit ribosomal RNA", at positions 29 to 507 of the family's 1533-position model. The record is from RNAcentral.
ACGAACGCUGGCGGCGUGCUUCACCCCUGCAGGUCGCACGGAAAGGCCCUGCUUUUGUGGGGUGCUCGAGUGGCGAACGGGUGAGUAACACGUGAGUAACCUGCCCUUGACUUUGGGAUAACUUCAGGAAACUGGGGCUAAUACCGGAUAGGAGCUCCUGCUGCAUGGUGGGGGUUGGAAAGUUUCGGCGGUUGGGGAUGGACUCGCGGCUUAUCAGCUUGUUGGUGGGGUAGUGGCUUACCAAGGCUUUGACGGGUAGCCGGCCUGAGAGGGUGACCGGCCACAUUGGGACUGAGAUACGGCCCAGACUCCUACGGGAGGCAGCAGUGGGGAAUAUUGCACAAUGGGCGGAAGCCUGAUGCAGCAACGCCGCGUGCGGGAUGACGGCCUUCGGGUUGUAAACCGCUUUCGCCUGUGACGAAGCGUGAGUGACGGUAAUGGGUAAAGAAGCACCGGCUAACUACGUG